RNAcentral lists this ribosomal RNA (425 nucleotides) under uncultured rumen bacterium. Its description in RNAcentral is "bacterial SSU rRNA". It matches the Rfam family "Bacterial small subunit ribosomal RNA", at positions 354 to 776 of the family's 1533-position model. The record is from RNAcentral.
GUGAGGAAUAUUGGUCAAUGGGCGAGAGCCUGAACCAGCCAAGUAGCGUGCAGGAUGACGGCCCUAUGGGUUGUAAACUGCUUUUAUGCGGGGAUAAAGUGAGGGACGUGUCCCUUUUUGUAGGUACCGCAUGAAUAAGGACCGGCUAAUUCCGUGCCAGCAGCCGCGGUAAUACGGAAGGUCCGGGCGUUAUCCGGAUUUAUUGGGUUUAAAGGGAGCGCAGGCGGGGAGGUAAGCGUGACGUGAAAUGUAGCCGCUCAACGGCUGAACUGCGUCGCGAACUGCCUCUCUUGAGUGAGUACGACGUCAGCGGAAUUUGUGGUGUAGCGGUGAAAUGCUUAGAUAUCACGAAGAACCCCGAUUGCGAAGGCAGCUGACGAGUCCUUUACUGACGCUAAAGCUCGAAGGUGCGGGUAUCGAACAGG